This 465-nucleotide ribosomal RNA is filed under the name Vreelandella stevensii. RNAcentral describes it as "partial 16S ribosomal RNA". It matches the Rfam family "Bacterial small subunit ribosomal RNA", at positions 338 to 795 of the family's 1533-position model. Lineage: Bacteria; Pseudomonadati; Pseudomonadota; Gammaproteobacteria; Oceanospirillales; Halomonadaceae. The record is from RNAcentral.
CCUACGGGAGGCUGCAGUGGGGAAUAUUGGACAAUGGGGGGAACCCUGAUCCAGCCAUGCCGCGUGUGUGAAGAAGGCCCUCGGGUUGUAAAGCACUUUCAGUGAGGAAGAACGCCUGGUGGUUAAUACCCAUCAGGAAAGACAUCACUCACAGAAGAAGCACCGGCUAACUCCGUGCCAGCAGCCGCGGUAAUACGGAGGGUGCGAGCGUUAAUCGGAAUUACUGGGCGUAAAGCGCGCGUAGGUGGCUUGAUAAGCCGGUUGUGAAAGCCCCGGGCUCAACCUGGGAACGGCAUCCGGAACUGUCAAGCUAGAGUGCAGGAGAGGAAGGUAGAAUUCCCGGUGUAGCGGUGAAAUGCGUAGAGAUCGGGAGGAAUACCAGUGGCGAAGGCGGCCUUCUGGGCUGACACUGACACUGAGGUGCGAAAGCGUGGGUAGCAAACAGGAUUAGAUACCCUUGUAGUC